Molecule: long non-coding RNA, 1473 nt
Organism: Pseudophryne corroboree (corroboree frog)
Lineage: Eukaryota; Metazoa; Chordata; Amphibia; Anura; Myobatrachidae
Exons: 5
Source: RefSeq, a predicted model, not a curated record
UUACCAUGGUGAUGGGUAUCACUAUAGCAAAGCCCCGGCCCCCCGCCCAGCUUGACCAGCCGUGUGACGCGGACGUGAGUUCACUUCCGGUGACGCCAGCGGGACGGCGAUGGGAAGCGGCCGACGGGCUCAGCGUGCACCUGGGUGAGUUGAAUAAAGCUACACCAUGGGAGAAAAAACAAUACAACGCCAUUAAGACUAUGACAAGAUUCUAAACCAACAGACGAUGAGCAGUGUGAGCAAGAAAAAGAUUGAACUGACAUACCAGCUUCUCAGAAGACUUUUAGCAGUGAUAAGAAGAAAAAGAAAGACGUUUUUACUGUUUCACCAGUGAAAGAUCUUACGGUAAAGAGGAAUCUCGAAUGCUGCUUAAGAAAAAGAAAAAAAGAAAAGCAUUUGAAUCUGGUAUUUUUGUCCUCAACAUGUGUACAUAGCUAUGUGUGUUUAAACUUGGGCAAUUUUACUAGAGCAUAAUAUUUUCUGAAUGGCAUGCUAAAGUACACUGCAUCUAGUAUGCUUUGAAAAAGGGGCCCACAGAUGGAUGAGUCUGUCUGUGGCAUUUGCACCCAUUAAACCUUAGAAUCAAGGGCGUAGCUACCGUAGGUGUAGGCAGUGCAGCUGCUAUGGGGCCCAGAGCUGAGAGGGGCCAACCUUCCCUGUCACAGUUACAUGUGUUAUAUACAUUUUUCACCAUUGGGGGUACGUAGGGGUCCUUUCAAACUUUUUCCUUGGGGUCUGCAAUAUAUCUAGGCAUGCCUCUGGACCUGCUCAUUGUAGUGUGGUAUAACAUGAACUGGAGGACAUUUUAAUGUUAUAUAUUAUGAACCGGGGCACUGUAAUGUGGCACAAUAUGAACGGGGAGCACUAUGUGUGGUAUAAUGUGUAUUGGCAGCUCUGAAAUGUGACAUAGGGUGAACUUAAGCACUAUUACCAUUCAUAAAAGAAACUAGGGCACUACUAUGGGGCAUAAUAUUUAAUGAGGCUCUACUAUGGUUCAGUAAAUGAACUAGGGCACUAUUAUAGGACAUAAAAUGAACAACUGUUGCAGAGAGGAGUUUCUCUAGAAGCAUUGGGACAGGGGCCCUUCAAAAUGUUGCUAUGGGGCCCACAAAGUUCUGGCUACGCCCCUUCCUAAAAUUUAAAUUUGCAUUUCAAACUACAGUUCAACCUACUACCAGAAACAAUUUUUAGGUCCCGGACCCCCAGCCACCUGCUUGGCACAUUGCAGGAUAUGCUGAAUUUUGGGCAUAUGUCUCUGCAUGUGCUGGGUGAAACAUUCAGCUGAAGAAUUUGCAUUUGACAAUGCGUUUCUGGAAUGGUAAAUUUCCACUGAUAUCACAAUCAUUUUUUUUAUUCAUUUGAAUAGGCACUCAAAAUUUUAUGAACAGUGCUUGCCGAAAAACAGAUCGCUUGAUUUGAAAUUUUUUGGAGAUUCCAAAUUUUUGCUUUUUUAUAUUUAAUAAACUGUAAUUA